CGAGAAAACAGCCCUCAUAUAAUGCUUGUUUUUGUACCUGCUUGCUGACUACUCAGAAAAAGAAUUGUGGCAUGUUAAACAAUUAGAAACCACCUUCAGCUUCCUCCAAGCUCACAUCACAGCUCGUGUAUGGCUGCAGCGGCUGCGUUCUUGUAAGGCUCAUUUGUCACUCCCUGCCCACCUACUGGACUCGUUUCUGUAGUCACUACUGAGUUAUUAAUUAGAGUCAUCUGGGGAGGCACAACUCAUCACUGCUCCCUGUUCUGGGAAUUCACUGGAGAAUAACAUCCGUAACCAGACCUUCCAGAACAUGCAUGGCACUUGAACGGACUUAGAUUUCCAGGAGCAUCUAUUGGACCCCCAGACCAUAGAAAGGGGUUUCAGCGAGGCACUUUGCAGAAGAUCCUCAGAGGUUCUACCACAAUUGUAAAUGAUUCUGGAAAUUCCUAAGCCCCAAAUUGACCACACUUUCUCUACUUCACCACAGAAGAAGUCUCUUGAGUCUCAACAGUCACAUAAUCACAGAAGGCUUAUUCUUGUAUGCAUCGUAUUUGGAAAAUAUCUUUAUAAGCAAAAACUUACUUGUGCAGAUGUUCAGAGAUACCAGAUGAAGACGUUGGAAACAUUGCCUAUUUGGGGAGAAAAAAGGGACAGUCUGCAAUAAAGAGUCCUUUGACCUCUAAGCUGAUACUAAGUAUUCAAUCAUCUUUUAUUUUUCUUGUGCAAUGGCUUUCUUUAUGUGUGAACACGACAAAUGAAAUCCAGGACAUGCAAAGGUGGAUCUUGUUUUCCAAUGGCUUUCCCUAUUCACCCUAGGAAGAACUUGAGUUCCCAGGCAGCUAGACUUAGGUUGCCCAAAUAGUGCAGGAAGAAAGGUGUAAAACUGAAAGCAGAAGAAAACCUUUACAAAUUUGCUGUUAAGAAUCAGUUUUUGGAAAUAGUGUCCUGGGUUUGUUUUAGAGAUUCUUUCAUAGGAAACUUAGAAUUAUUUCCAUGAGGACAGACAAUACUUGAACCUUUGCCAAGUGAGUGCUCUGCCUGCUAUGCCACCCUCUCUGCUUCCUCUCCUGCUACAGCCAGUCCCUGGGACUUGAAUUCCCUUCUGCUAGAACAAAAUUUUCAGCAGCUCAGCUACUCCAGCUCAAACAGCCUCUUGCCAAGUUAUUAAGGAAGUUUCCAAAGGGAAAACUUUCAGCUCUCCUACUCCACUCUCUGCUGCGUAUCUUUGUCAACAGCUCUAACCUCAACACUGUUACAGAAAUUAUGGACUAAAUGUCCAGUUUUUGAAGGAAAAAGGCUGAGAAACCUCAUCUUUAACAACCAACCCUCCGUUCAGCUGGAGACUGCAAUGAAAUCACAAAUCCACAAUGAGGACAACAAAUUCUUUCUACAAAAACAAAAGCCAUGACACAGAUUUAACAUCAGCAGUUUUCCAAGAUUCAGAAGAGGGCAAGAAAUUCUGUGGGAUUGCCAAAUCUUACUUGAAAUCGUGUCCUUCAUAAACAAGUAUAUGAAACAGUAGAAGAUAACACUGUCACUGUUAAUUCAAGACACUUGGAUAUUUUAAUCUUGAGGCUCCACUAAAAUGCAUUAACUGCCAUGAAACAUGACACAGUCCCGGAUUGUCUUUUUAUGGGGGAACAUAAAUACCAUCAAACUUGUGCUUGAGUGCUACAAAAGAAAUGUGCUUUGCAUGUUGGAUCUUUGGUAGAGAUUUCCUCUGACACACUGAUGACAUUUUUUUUGCACUUACAUUGCAAUAUGUGAGAUUUUACCUUAAAAUUUCCUGCCAACAUAUGGCUUUAUAUUAAUAUCACAUAUUUCACUUAAAAUGAAUCUAUGAGGACCAACUUGAAAAUAUGAACCAAGCACACCCUGAUGGAAAAUAAGGAUAGUCACAAUCUUUAGAUUUUUUUUUCAAAGUAUCUCACUUGCCUUUCAGUUAAAUCACAUUUUCACUAGGACUGACUUCUGUCUUUUUUGUUUGCUACUGGCAAAACUGCCUGUAUGAAUUAAUGCAAAAUAGAAUUUGAACAUUACAAAUAACAUGUCUCUGUUCUUUCAGUCACCAAAGAUAGCAACUGACAUUUUUCAAUAAAGUUGC
This is a long non-coding RNA of Motacilla alba alba, 2104 nucleotides long. RefSeq lists it as uncharacterized. Lineage: Eukaryota; Metazoa; Chordata; Aves; Passeriformes; Motacillidae. The record is from RefSeq and is a predicted model, not a curated record. The transcript is spliced from 5 exons.